This 347-nucleotide unclassified non-coding RNA is filed under the name soil metagenome. Its description in RNAcentral is "partial contains 5.8S ribosomal RNA, internal transcribed spacer 2, and large subunit ribosomal RNA". The stretch from base 1 to 120 matches the Rfam family "5.8S ribosomal RNA", at positions 35 to 154 of the family's 154-position model. The record is from RNAcentral.
GAUGAAGAACGCAGCGAAAUGCGAUAAGUAAUGUGAAUUGCAGAAUUCAGUGAAUCAUCGAAUCUUUGAACGCACAUUGCGCCCCCUGGUAUUCCGGGGGGCAUGCCUGUCCGAGCGUCAUUGCUGCCCUCAAGCACGGCUUGUGUGUUGGGCCGUCGUCCCCCUCCUUGGGGACGGGCCCGAAAGGCAGCGGCGGCACCGCGUCCGGUCCUCGAGCGUAUGGGGCUUCGUCACCCGCUCCGUAGGCCCGGCCGGCGCUUGCCGACGACCAUCAAUCUCUUUCUCCAGGUUGACCUCGGAUCAGGUAGGGAUACCCGCUGAACUUAAGCAUAUCAAUAAGCGGAGGA